This 252-nucleotide ribosomal RNA is filed under the name uncultured bacterium. RNAcentral's name for it is "partial 16S ribosomal RNA". It matches the Rfam family "Bacterial small subunit ribosomal RNA", at positions 525 to 776 of the family's 1533-position model. The record is from RNAcentral.
ACGGAGGGAGCUAGCGUUGUUCGGAAAUACUGGGCGUAAAGCGCACGUAGGCGGCGCCGCAAGUCAGGGGUGAAAUCCCGGGGCUCAACCCCGGAACUGCCCUUGAAACUGCAGUGCUAGAAUCCUGGAGAGGCGAGUGGAAUUCCGAGUGUAGAGGUGAAAUUCGUAGAUAUUCGGAAGAACACCAGUGGCGAAGGCGACUCGCUGGACAGGUAUUGACGCUGAGGUGCGAAAGCGUGGGGAGCAAACAGG